UACGGAGGGUGCGAGCGUUUGUCCGGAAUCACUGGGCGUAAAGGGCGCGUAGGCGGCCUGAUAAGUAGGGGGUGAAAUCCUGCGGCUUAACCGCAGGGCUGCCUUCUAAACUGUCAGGCUAGAGCACAGUAGAGGCAGGUGGAAUUCCUGGUGUAGCGGUGAAAUGCGCAGAUAUCAGGAGGAACACCGGUGGCGAAGGCGGUUCUCUGGGCAUUACCUGACGCUGAGGAGCGAAAGUGUGGGGGAGCGAACAGG
RNAcentral lists this ribosomal RNA (255 nucleotides) under uncultured bacterium. Its description in RNAcentral is "partial 16S ribosomal RNA". It matches the Rfam family "Bacterial small subunit ribosomal RNA", at positions 524 to 776 of the family's 1533-position model. The record is from RNAcentral.